UACGGAGGAUGCAAGCGUUAUCCGGAAUGAUUGGGCGUAAAGGGUCCGCAGGUGGCAGUGUAAGUCUGCUGUCAAAGAAUGAGGCUCAACCUCAUCAAGGCAGUGGAAACUACACAGCUAGAGUACGGUCGGGGUAGAAGGAAUUCCUGGUGUAGCGGUGAAAUGCGUAGAGAUCAGGAAGAACACCGGUGGCGAAAGCGUUCUGCUAGGCCUGUACUGACACUGAGGGACGAAAGCUAGGGGAGCGAAU
This 250-nucleotide ribosomal RNA is filed under the name uncultured bacterium. RNAcentral describes it as "partial 16S ribosomal RNA". It matches the Rfam family "Bacterial small subunit ribosomal RNA", at positions 524 to 773 of the family's 1533-position model. The record is from RNAcentral.